Molecule: long non-coding RNA, 1041 nt
Filed under: Oncorhynchus kisutch (coho salmon)
Lineage: Eukaryota; Metazoa; Chordata; Actinopteri; Salmoniformes; Salmonidae
Description: lncRNA (ENSOKIG00005042879.1)
Source: RNAcentral
AUGCAAAGAGUCAAAAGUGAGACUUCCAUGGACCCCCCCGCCAACGCAGCAGCCAAAAAGGUAUUGGGUCAUUCGAUGGACAACGUCUCAAGGAAGUCAUUCAGAGAUGAGUGUCACGAGGUUCCGUUGGAGACUCACGUCUCAAAGAAGAGAUCUCUUCUAUCUACAGACAUGAUCGGUGUGUCUUUGGACACCGGCUCCAGGCAGAUGAUGAGAGAGAGCAGGGGAGAAGCCUCAUUCAACAACUCCAUGAGAGGAAGACCCAGAGAAGAAAUGGUGGCGGCCGUUGGAACCCCAACGAGAAGGAUAUCCCGAGAGGAGGAGGACUUCUUAGCCGACAGCGCUCAGAGGAGGAUGGCGAUGGCCAGAGACAAACUGACCCUUCAUCUGGACAGCAACUCUUCUCACAAGAUGCUGAGGAAGAAGAUGGAGUUCUCAGUGGAACCACCAUCUGCCGCCACGAGGAAGAUAUCGAUAGACGAACACCAUGAGAUGUGCUCUCACACUAGCAGACGAACAAACAGCGAUAAGAUUGACAGAUCCAUAGACACUCCCACUGGGAAGAUCUACCCGGACAGGGUCGACAGUACCCCAGAAAUCCCCAAACGGAGGAUAUCCAGGGAGGAGUAUGCGGGGUCGUCCCAGUUGGGUCACGAUCCCCAGGUUUUGGAUUGGGGUCAGUUCGGACAACCUGAUCUCACCUUGUCCACACCAUGGAAACAAACCCAGACCCCUGACCCUUAUACCCCUAACCUGACCGAACUUGUGUAUGACGGUAUUCUGGAGAAGUCCUGUAUCACCCCAGCAACGACCCCUGACCUGCCCCAAAGGAUCACGGAAGGAAGAGAGCGAGAAGGGAAUCCUCCUGUUCCGCCCCCGAGGAGCUGCCGGUCCCUAAACACGUUGCCCCCGGAGAUGAGAGGCGAGAGGCACCAAAAGGACAAAGACAAAAGCACGAAGUCGUCCAAACUCAAGAGCCUUUUUAAGAAGAGGAAAGAUCAUACCCCAGAACUGCCACAAGGGGGCCUGAACAAUCUCUGA